This 19-nucleotide ribosomal RNA is filed under the name Phytophthora cactorum. Its description in RNAcentral is "partial 28S ribosomal RNA". The record is from RNAcentral. Lineage: Eukaryota; Oomycota; Peronosporomycetes; Peronosporales; Peronosporaceae.
UGGACCUGAUAUCAGGCAA